UGGGGUAACCAUAGAUUCCACCAUAGAGCAGUGUCCGGUGGAAGUCACCAACCAGGCUUCCGAUGUAUCUAGCAGAAUAAGGCUUGCCACUAGGACCAGGGUCUUUGAGGUCGUCGAUGUACUUCUUCAACUUGUCAUCCCACAGCUGGUAAUUGCCUUCAUUGAAUGCAUAAAUUUUUCCAGCUUUUGGGAUCUGAAUAUUCUCUUGAGUUAACACGAAUUCACCAUACAUGGGAUCCAAGGUGAAUGCAAACACCCCGUUGCCUAAGGUGAGCACAAAGAUUAUAGAGCUUGAGUACAUGCAGUAGCCAGCAGCUAGUAGAUUACUCCCUGGUUGGCACACGUUCACAACACAUCUUUGUUCAGUCGUAUCAAGCUGCAGGUUCCAUACAUGAAACAAUUAGGAUAUUUUUGCAUUUAAGUUUGGAAAUUCAAUGAAGUAGAUAUGGACUUACGGUGGAAUCAUCACUGAUAUCAGCCAGGCACUCAUCGUUGGGGCUGUAUAUUCCAAAAAUGGAACCUGUGGAAACAGCAGCAUCAAUGUUGGAUGAUCCAUCAAGUGGGUCAAAUACCACAAUAUAGUUUCCAGAGAAACUCUCUUCUACUGCCACUGGCACAUCCUCUUCCUCUGAUGCUAUAAUCCCUGUUCUUCCACUUGAUCUUAAGCAGUUGGAGAAUACCUGUAAAUGCAUAAGAAUCAGUUUCUGUGAUGCCUGGUAGCAUAAGCAUUCUUAUUUUCAAAUAAGUGUUGCCUAUUUUAUCCAAGCUUUCUAAGCAAAAGUAGUACCAAUUUCAAGAAUUCUUCACAUAAAAAAUUCUGAAAGCCAUUGAACUAUUCAAGGAAUGACAAAAUUGUAAUGUUUUAAUUUCGUUUUAGAGCAAGGGCGCCAUCAUUCAAUUAUAAGUUUGAGAAUGUCCAUGUUGUUUGAUUGCAGAACAUAACUCAUACAAAACUGAACUCAUGGUUGAUAACAAGACCUCAUUUGAAACGACGUCAAGCUUCUUCUGGUCCUCUCCUUGCACGUUGACAGCGCCCUGGACACCAGUCAAGUUGGAAAUGCUAGCCCUUUGCACCAAAGAAGCAAUCU
Molecule: long non-coding RNA, 1088 nt
Filed under: Theobroma cacao (cacao)
Lineage: Eukaryota; Viridiplantae; Streptophyta; Magnoliopsida; Malvales; Malvaceae
Description: long non-coding RNA (TCAC_LNC002811)
Source: RNAcentral